GUCGCUCAUCCAGUAUGGUGGCUAUGAUCCUCGGCUUGUAACCGAGUGGGUUCAGGUUCGAAUCCCGAGUAAGACA
This 76-nucleotide transfer RNA is filed under the name Trichonephila inaurata madagascariensis. RNAcentral describes it as "tRNA-Thr". Lineage: Eukaryota; Metazoa; Arthropoda; Arachnida; Araneae; Nephilidae. The record is from RNAcentral.